This 433-nucleotide ribosomal RNA is filed under the name uncultured bacterium. Its description in RNAcentral is "partial 16S ribosomal RNA". It matches the Rfam family "Bacterial small subunit ribosomal RNA", at positions 29 to 507 of the family's 1533-position model. The record is from RNAcentral.
AACGAACGCUGGCGGCAUGCCUAACACAUGCAAGUCGAACGAGACCUUCGUGUGUAGUUGCUCACGGGUGCGUAAAGCGUGGGAACCUGCCCUUAUGUUCCGAAUACCUCCUCGAAAGGGGUGCUAACGUCGGAUAAUGUAUGCGGACCAAACAUUUAUCGCCUUUGGAUGGGCCCGCGUUGGAUUAACUUGUUGGUAGGGUAAAAGCCUAUCACGGCUACGCUCCCUAGCUGGUCUGAGAGACAGAUCAGCCACACUUAGACUGGGACACGGCCCGGAAUAUUGCGGGAUGGAGGAAAGGGGAAUCUUGGAAUAUGGGCUGAGUCCUGAACCACCAAUGCUGCUUGAGCGCUGAAGUCGGGAGAGAUGUAAAGCUGUUUUACACGGCACGAUAAUGACAGUACCCAGAGAAUAAGCACCGGCUAACUCCGUG